RNAcentral lists this ribosomal RNA (134 nucleotides) under uncultured eukaryote. RNAcentral's name for it is "partial 18S ribosomal RNA". It matches the Rfam family "Eukaryotic small subunit ribosomal RNA", at positions 1299 to 1458 of the family's 1831-position model. The record is from RNAcentral.
UCGUGGAUUGAUUUGUCAGGUUAAUUCCGUUAACGAACGAGACUUCCGUUUGUUUAUUGGAAGUCCGCAUGGUGUGGCGCACUCAUUUAGGAGGACCAUGUGCGCCUAGCACGAAGAAGCGCGAAGCAAUAACA